This 396-nucleotide ribosomal RNA is filed under the name uncultured bacterium. RNAcentral's name for it is "bacterial SSU rRNA". It matches the Rfam family "Bacterial small subunit ribosomal RNA", at positions 957 to 1353 of the family's 1533-position model. The record is from RNAcentral.
UAACGCGAAGAACCUUACCAGGUCUUGACAUCCUUUGAAGCUUUUAGAGAUAGAAGUGUUCUCUUCGGAGACAAAGUGACAGGUGGUGCAUGGUCGUCGUCAGCUCGUGUCGUGAGAUGUUGGGUUAAGUCCCGCAACGAGCGCAACCCUUAUUGUUAGUUGCCAGCAUUCAGUUGGGCACUCUAGCGAGACUGCCGGUGACAAACCGGAGGAAGGCGGGGACGACGUCAGAUCAUCACGCCCCUUAUGACCUGGGCUACACACGUGCUACAAUGGCGUAUACAACGAGUUGCCAACCUGCGAAGGUGAGCUAAUCUCUUAAAGUACGUCUCAGUUCGGACUGCAGUCUGCAACUCGACUGCACGAAGUCGGAAUCGCUAGUAAUCGCGGAUCAGC